AACGCACAUUGCGCCCGCCAGUAUUCUGGCGGGCAUGCCUGUUCGAGCGUCAUUUCAACCAUCAAGCCCCAGGCUUGUGUUGGGGGCCUGCAGCUGCUGCAGCCCCCUAAAAGCAGUGGCGGACUCGCUGUCAUUCCGAGCGCAGUAGUUACAUCUCGCUCUGGGCGUGGCGGCGGGCACCUGCCGUGAAACAUUCUUUCUAAGGUUGACCUCGGAUCAGGUAGGAAUACCCGCUGAACUUAA
RNAcentral lists this unclassified non-coding RNA (243 nucleotides) under uncultured Ramophialophora. RNAcentral's name for it is "sequence contains ITS2". The stretch from base 1 to 52 matches the Rfam family "5.8S ribosomal RNA", at positions 103 to 154 of the family's 154-position model. Lineage: Eukaryota; Fungi; Ascomycota; Sordariomycetes; Sordariales. The record is from RNAcentral.